GUGUAAUAUUUUUCUUGUUUUUUUUAUUGGUUACCUUUCUCUUUCUCUCACUCAGGGUAUCUCCGGUUUUUGUCCCUCUCUCAGUUACUAUAAGCUUUUUUUUUUUAAUAUCCAUUUUUGUAUUUAUGGGGUAUUUUUAUGCUCCAGUCUCUCUACUGUGCUCUUAAUUUAUUGUGUUUUUUUUUUCAGUCUCACUUCAUUACAAUUAUGGUUGGAAAAAGUUGAUUUAGGGCUUGAUUUAAACUUUCAAAAAAGGAGAAAGAUCUCUAGAAACUGAAUAAGAAGGUUCGACCCAAGGAAUUAUGUGUUGGAGUGGUCCAUUCUACUUAUUGACAACUCGAACCGAAGUGGAUCAAUGGAGUUUGUUGUUUCCCCAACAGACUCAUCUGUAUUUUUCCCGAUUUCUGUGAACUUCUCUGCUACUAAUACAUUCAGUGACUUGAAA
This is a long non-coding RNA of Humulus lupulus (European hop), 445 nucleotides long. RefSeq lists it as uncharacterized. The record is from RefSeq and is a predicted model, not a curated record. The transcript is spliced from 3 exons. Lineage: Eukaryota; Viridiplantae; Streptophyta; Magnoliopsida; Rosales; Cannabaceae.